GUACACGCUGUGACUAGCAUAUCAAUAAGCGGAGGAAAAGAAACUAACAAGGAUUCCCCUAGUAACGGCGAGUGAAGCGGGAAGAGCUCAAAUUUGAAAUCUUAAAGGGUUUCCCUUUACGAAUUGUAGUUUAAAGAAGUGUUUUCUGUUGAGGUUUUGGUAAAAGUUCUCUGGAAUAGGACAUCAUAGAGGGUGAGAAUCCCGUAUUUGACCUUUACUUUCAACUUUGUGAUACACUUUCAAAGAGUCGGAUUGUUUGGGAAUGCAGUCCAAAAUGGGUGGUAAAUUUCAUCUAAAGCUAAAUAUUGGCGAGAGACCGAUAGCGAACAAGUACCGUGAGGGAAAGAUGAAAAGAACUUUGAAAAGAGAGUUAAACAGUACGUGAAAUUGUCAAAAGGGAAGCGUUUGACACCAGUGUUGUUUUUCUGAAAACUCAAUUAAAGAACUGUUUAUGCUAAGUUGUUUAGACUUUAUCAGCUAACUGUUUAGUUUUGAGCUUUUCUUUAAUGCACUUUUCAGUUAACAAGUCAACAUCAAUUUCUUUUGCUGUAAAAAAGCUUGAGGAAGGUGGCUUGAGAUUCGUCUUAAGUGUUUAUAGCCUCUUGCCUAUGCAGUCGGAGAGAUUGAGGUCUGCAGCGUAGAUCCUUCGGGGCUAAAUGCAUUUGUGCUAAGUUAUAGCAUUUUAUAGACAACUUGUUGACUAUGAUUUGUCUUGUGGCUUACUCGCUUAUGUUAUUUUACCUACGCUUAGGAUGUUGAAGAUGUAGCACAUCAU
RNAcentral lists this ribosomal RNA (775 nucleotides) under uncultured Neocallimastigales. Its description in RNAcentral is "partial large subunit ribosomal RNA". It matches the Rfam family "Eukaryotic large subunit ribosomal RNA", at positions 22 to 635 of the family's 3401-position model. Lineage: Eukaryota; Fungi; Neocallimastigomycota; Neocallimastigomycetes; Neocallimastigales. The record is from RNAcentral.